Molecule: ribosomal RNA, 220 nt
Filed under: uncultured bacterium
Lineage: Bacteria
Description: partial 16S ribosomal RNA
Rfam family: Bacterial small subunit ribosomal RNA
Source: RNAcentral
GCAAGUCGAACGCUCUCUUCGGAGAGAGUGGCAGACGGGUGAGUAACGCGUGGGAAUCUACCUAGUACUAAGGAACAACAGUUAGAAAUGACUGCUAAUACCUUAUACGCCCUCCGGGGGAAAGAUUUAUCGGUAUUAGAUGAGCCCGCGUUUGAUUAGCUAGUUGGUGAGGUAAUGGCUCACCAAGGCGACGAUCUUUAGCUGUUCUGAGAGGAUGAUC